CUUUGUUUCUCUCUCUCUCUCCGUCGCCAUUGUUUCUCCUCAAGUUCUUGCGGCAGUGUAUGAGUAGAUUGUUUCGAAAUCUUAGGAAUAUUAUGCGUCAAUUUUGUAAUCAGAUCUGAAGCCAUGAAGCAGCCGUAUCCCAGAUAAGAUCUGAUUGUAUACCGGAAUUGUAAGCUCUCAAACAACUUGCAAUGGUCUUGUGUCUUCUUUUUUCCAGUAUGAUCUAUUUGUUCCAGUACUACUGAACCCACAAAUUUAAUCCUUGGGUAACCCUGAGGUAUUUUGACUAAAUGUGAUUGAAGUAGAUCCACAUAUAUGAGCUGCAAUAAUUAGACAGAAUAGAAAUAUGGUUUAUUAGUACCACACUGAUGUGAAUGUGUAUUGGAAGCAUAGUAUGUGCAAUUAUUGAAAGGUUAAGCUUACAUGUAGAAUAUGAACGCAUCCACCGACAUUCAGGUUGUGCACUUUGUUUUCCCUUGAUUCACGGAUUGCCUCGAUAAGGUACUCAGCAGCAAAACGACACCAAUUCAUACGAGGGAUGUCGGUCAAGUCCUUCAAAGCUCCUAGCAGGUAACUUCUAUUAAUUUGGUAACCAGUCGUCGGAGCUAAGUAGGCGCAAAGAAUGACUUGCAUGAAACACAAGCAAAACUUGUCCUUGUCUUUUUCCUCUUUGUACGUUAACAUCCUGUCUGUAGCUUCCUUGAGUGAUUCUCCUCUUCCGGCCUUAGCAGACUCGAAUUCAGUUUUACCUCUGAAAGGUCUGUCACGAGCCCUACCUGGACGGGGCAUUGGAACUGCUUUGUCAAGAGCAGGUAACUUCAAGAGGUUUUCAACAGCUUGUACUAUAGAAACCUUCCUGUUUCUGAAUACUAGACACUUGCUGUCGCAGUCUACUCUUUUCAUCAGCCAUAUAGUUAGCUUUCUUGGUAACUUGCACUCAAUCAUGUCAAUGAGUGAUCCAAAUCCCAAUUCUUCUAUCCAUUUUAGCUGUUCUGGACAUAGUUUUUUUAUAAUGUCGCGUAUCUUGUUUGGAUCACAUUUCCAGUUGAUUGUCUACAUGCAUGUUCGGGAAGAGCCAGGUUAGUGCUGCCAUCAAUAAUUAUAUUUUAAAGCAAUGCAAACCUCUAUUCCUGCUUUUUUAUAAUACCUGCUUAACUUCGGCGGAAGCUGCUCUCUUAAGUUUCUUCGGAGAUCUUCUACAGCUAUUCCUGGUUGAUUUUGAUUGAGAGAAAACAUCAGUAUCACUCAUGUCGACGCUACAGCUUUCAUCAGAGUUAGUUGUCUGAAAGCUUGGAUAUUUCCGGCGACGGCGUGCAGAAUUAGUCAUCUGUGAAAUAAAAAAUUCCAAAUUCAGAACCAGCAUAGGUAGAAAUAAUAAAGUGGUGGAGAGAAAAUUCAGUUAUCA
Triticum aestivum (bread wheat) is the source of this 1405-nucleotide long non-coding RNA. RefSeq lists it as uncharacterized. The transcript has 2 exons. The record is from RefSeq and is a predicted model, not a curated record. Lineage: Eukaryota; Viridiplantae; Streptophyta; Magnoliopsida; Poales; Poaceae.